GGAAUUUGCAGGCGAAAUGGAUUUUGAAGAGUUCCAUUUGUACUUAAGGCCUGUGUAUUUUGAAUUUGCAAGUCACAAAGAAAAAGCAGACCAGCCCUCCCCAAUAUUUAUUACUUUGCUUGAACAUCAGGACAUUGCUGUGGACAGAUACAUUCCUUCCAGUUUAAUGCUAAGUAUUCAAGAUCUUGACAAUCAAAUUGGAAAAUUUAGCUUUCGCACUAAAGAAAAUAUUCUUCAGGUGUUGGUGAAACCUUAUGGAAUAGAAAACUUGCAGAUUGCUCUCGCCUGCCAGGUCACUCAUAAAAACACCGUCCUUGUUGCUGUCCAGCAGGCUUCGUUUUGCCCCAUGAUGCAGCCCAGACGAACACUGGAUGCAAAAGAAGGAAGCCUUAGUCUGCGCAGUCACAGCAGCUCUGCCAGUGGAAGUUCUACAGUUGAGAAUGAAACAGAAGACCAGCUGUCAGCUACUACCACACUAAUUUCAUAUUCCAUUGGGCAUUUUGCAGCUAGACACCGCAGGUUAAGGAG
Molecule: long non-coding RNA, 528 nt
Filed under: Salvator merianae (Argentine black and white tegu)
Lineage: Eukaryota; Metazoa; Chordata; Lepidosauria; Squamata; Teiidae
Description: lncRNA (ENSSMRG00000013287.1)
Source: RNAcentral